Molecule: long non-coding RNA, 406 nt
Filed under: Olea europaea (common olive)
Lineage: Eukaryota; Viridiplantae; Streptophyta; Magnoliopsida; Lamiales; Oleaceae
Description: long non-coding RNA (OEUR_LNC011601)
Source: RNAcentral
CCCAAUCAAUCCGAAACAGUGAGAAGCCCAAGAGCAACGAUAUAGAAAAUCGUACAAGCUGGACAAUUUGCGCAAUUGUUGAUAUCUCAUGCUUCACAACUCAUUGAUAUUAAGAUCCAACGAUUAAGAUCAACAUCUAACGAUUUAUCCGAGAGGAAUAUCUACAUGAGAAGUAGCAAAUUUUACAUUAUUGGUUUUUUAGCAGUAUUCCAAGAAUAAUUUUUCUUGAGAGAGAGUUGUGUUUGGGUCAAUUGUUAUAAUUGGGGAUGAAAGGUAUAACAUGGUCGUGUCAGGAACUGCUUGAAUUCUUGAUAUUUAUUGUGCUGAGUGGCUGUGCUAAAAAUAGGUGCAAUUCUUGAUAUAGCUGUGCCUGUAGGGUUCACUAGAUAGAUUGUGGGCUUCCAAC